GUGAACGCUGGCGGUAGGCCUAACACCUGCAAGUCGAACGGCAGCACAGUAAGCGCUUGCUCUUACGGGUGGCGAGUGGCGGACGGGUGAGGAAUACAUCGGAAUCUACUUUUUCGUGGGGGAUAACGUAGGGAAACUUACGCUAAUACCGCAUACGACCUACGGGUGAAAGCAGGGGAUCUUCGGACCUUGCGCGAUUGAAUGAGCCGAUGUCGGAUUAGCUAGUUGGCGGGGUAAGGGCCCACCAAGGCGACGAUCCGUAGCUGGUCUGAGAGGAUGAUCAGCCACACUGGAACUGAGACACGGUCCAGACUCCUACGGGAGGCAGCAGUGGGGAAUAUUGGACAAUGGGCGCAAGCCUGAUCCAGCCAUACCGCGUGGGUGAAGAAGGCCUUCGGGUUGUAAAGCCCUUUUGUUGGGAAAGAAAAGCAGCAGGUUAAUACCCCGCUGUUCUGACGGUACCCAAAGAAUAAGCACCGGCUAACUUCGUG
RNAcentral lists this ribosomal RNA (491 nucleotides) under uncultured bacterium. RNAcentral describes it as "partial 16S ribosomal RNA". It matches the Rfam family "Bacterial small subunit ribosomal RNA", at positions 29 to 507 of the family's 1533-position model. The record is from RNAcentral.